UAAGUACUCCUUCCGUUCGAAAAUACUUGUUAAAGAAAUGCAUAAAAAUGGAUAUAUCUAGAAUUAAAAUAUGUUUAGAUAUAUAUAUUCCUUCGACAAGUAUUUUUGGACAGAAGGAGUAUGCA
Molecule: non-coding RNA, 125 nt
Organism: Triticum aestivum (bread wheat)
Lineage: Eukaryota; Viridiplantae; Streptophyta; Magnoliopsida; Poales; Poaceae
Source: Rfam